RNAcentral lists this ribosomal RNA (328 nucleotides) under uncultured eukaryote. RNAcentral's name for it is "partial 18S ribosomal RNA". It matches the Rfam family "Eukaryotic small subunit ribosomal RNA", at positions 1470 to 1796 of the family's 1831-position model. The record is from RNAcentral.
CCCUUAGACGUUCUGGGCCGCACGCGCGCUACACUGACGGAGCCAGCGAGUAUAAACCUUGGCCGAGAGGUCUGGGAAAUCUUGUGAAACUCCGUCGUGCUGGGGAUUGAGCAUUGUAAUUAUUGCUCUUCAACGAGGAAUUCCUAGUAAGCGCAAGUCAUCAGCUUGCGUUGAUUACGUCCCUGCCCUUUGUACACACCGCCCGUCGCUACUACCGAUUGAAUGGCUUAGUGAGGCUUCCGGAUUGGUUUAGAGAAGGGGGCAACUCCAUCUUGGAACCGAGAAGCUAGUCAAACUUGGUCAUUUAGAGGAAGUAAAAGUCGUAACA